AAAUUGAAGAGUUUGAUCAUGGCUCAGAUUGAACGCUGGCGGCAGGCCUAACACAUGCAAGUCGAACGGUAACAGAAAGCAGCUUGCUGCUUUGCUGACGAGUGGCGGACGGGUGAGUAAUGUCUGGGAAACUGCCUGAUGGAGGGGGAUAACUACUGGAAACGGUAGCUAAUACCGCAUAACGUCGCAAGACCAAAGAGGGGGACCUUCGGGCCUCUUGCCAUCGGAUGUGCCCAGAUGGGAUUAGCUUGUUGGUGGGGUAACGGCUCACCAAGGCGACGAUCCCUAGCUGGUCUGAGAGGAUGACCAGCCACACUGGAACUGAGACACGGUCCAGACUCCUACGGGAGGCAGCAGUGGGGAAUAUUGCACAAUGGGCGCAAG
RNAcentral lists this ribosomal RNA (384 nucleotides) under Escherichia coli. RNAcentral describes it as "bacterial SSU rRNA". It matches the Rfam family "Bacterial small subunit ribosomal RNA", at positions 1 to 381 of the family's 1533-position model. Lineage: Bacteria; Pseudomonadati; Pseudomonadota; Gammaproteobacteria; Enterobacterales; Enterobacteriaceae. The record is from RNAcentral.